UGGGGAAUUUUGCGCAAUGGGCGAAAGCCUGACGCAGUAACGCCGCGUGGAGGAUGAAGGCCUUUGGGUUGUAAACUCCUGACUGGGGGAAAGAUAAUGACGGUACCCCCAAAGAAAGCCCCGGCUAAUUCCGUGCCAGCAGCCGCGGUAAUACGGAAGGGGCGAGCGUUGUUCGGAAUCAUUGGGCGUAAAGGGCGUGUAGGCGGUUUCAUAUGUCCGCUGUGAAACAACACGGCUCAACCGUGUAGAGCGGCGGAAACUGUGAGACUUGAGGCUGGGAGGGGCUGGUGGAAUUCCCUGUGUAGCGGUGAAAUGCGUAGAGAUGGGGGAGAACACUCGUGGCGAAGGCGGCCAGCUGGACCAGUUCUGACGCUAAGACGCGAAAGCGUGGGGAGCAAACAGG
RNAcentral lists this ribosomal RNA (403 nucleotides) under uncultured bacterium. RNAcentral describes it as "bacterial SSU rRNA". It matches the Rfam family "Bacterial small subunit ribosomal RNA", at positions 355 to 776 of the family's 1533-position model. The record is from RNAcentral.